Molecule: ribosomal RNA, 500 nt
Filed under: uncultured Myrionecta
Lineage: Eukaryota; Ciliophora; Litostomatea; Cyclotrichida; Mesodiniidae
Description: SSU rRNA
Rfam family: Eukaryotic small subunit ribosomal RNA
Source: RNAcentral
GUUUUUUACAAGUCUCAGUUAGAUAGCAUGCACGUCUAGUACAAACUAAAUGAUGGUGAAACUGCAAAUGGCUCAUUACAACGGUUAUGAUGUACCCGGGAGUUCCGAUGGAUAUUUCCAGUAACACUAGAACUAAUACAUGUCCCUGCGUCUAUUAGUUUCGCACAGUCCGUCGCUGAGUCAUGGUAAACAGUUGAUCGACUCGACGUCCCGGAACAGUUUCCGCCCCAUCAGCUUCGAUGGUUGGGUAUUGGCCUACCAUUGCAACAACGGGUAACGAGGAAUUAGGGUUUGAUUUCGGAGAGGGAGCCUGAGAAACGGCUACCACAUCUACGGAUGGCAGCAGGCGCGCAAAUUACCCAAUGCAGACACUGUGAGGUAGUGACGAGAAAUAAUAAAGCGGGACUUCUGUUUCGCUAUUAUAAUGAGGAAUAACCAAAGGUCAUUCCGAUUAGCAACUGAUGGGAAAGUCUGGUGCCAGCAGCCGCGGUAAUACCAGC